AGAAAUAUCAAGCUGAGGCCAUUGGCUUCAGCAUUGAAAUGAACGUAAUGUAAAUACUUUGAUGAGUAACAACUGGAGGGCAAGUCUGGUGCCAGCAGCCGCGGUAAUUCCAGCUCCAGUAGUGUAUAUCAAAAUUGUUGCGUUUAAAACGCUCGUAGUCGGAUGACAAGAACGUCCCCAAUUACCGGUUUAGCCGAGUGGUUGAGGGUGUUUUUUAUUCGCAAGCACUGGUUGUGGGCUUUAAUGCUUGUGGCCAGUCACUUGCGAGGCGUGCCUUGAAUAAAGCAGAGUGCUCAAAGCAAGCGUAACGCUAGAAUGUAAUAGCAUGGAACGAACAGUGUUGAUUUCUGGCUGAGUUGGUCGGUGUGGCAAAGGUUUAGUUUGAUUUGUGGCAACACAAGUCGAACGGCUUUUGCUACCGACGGUCGUUUGAUUCGCAAGAAUUGAACGACCGCCGGACUCAGCUGGGUCCUGGUUAAAAGGGACAUUUGAGGGCGUUAGUACUUGAUGGCGAGAGGUGAAAUUCUUAGACCCAUCAAAGACUGACUAGUGCGAAAGCAUUCGCCAAGAGUGUUUUCAUUGAUCAAGAACGAAAGUUGGAGGUUCGAAGACGAUCAGAUACCGUCCUAGUUCCAUACAGUAAACGAUGCCAACACGGAAUCAGUCCGAAAAGGAUUCAGGUUGGUUCCCCAGUGAAAACUCAAGUUUUCGGGUUACGGGGAGAGUACGAUCGCAAGGUAGAAAUUUAAAAGAAUUGACGGAAGGGCACCACAAGGAGUGGAGCCUGCGGCUUAAUUUGACUCAACACGGGGCAACUCACCAGGUCCGGACAUUGAAAGGAUUGACAGACUGAUAGAUCUUUCAUGAUUUAAUGAUUGGUGGUGCAUGGCCGUUCUUAGUUGGUGGAGUGAUCUGUCAGGUUUAUUCCGGUAACGAGCGAGACCACGGUGUCUAGUUAAUGGCAGGUUGGUUGUCCUUUGGUCACCAUCCUGAUUCUAGACAGACAACCGGAUUGAA
RNAcentral lists this ribosomal RNA (1017 nucleotides) under Parvicapsula limandae. RNAcentral's name for it is "SSU rRNA". It matches the Rfam family "Eukaryotic small subunit ribosomal RNA", at positions 473 to 1432 of the family's 1831-position model. Lineage: Eukaryota; Metazoa; Cnidaria; Myxozoa; Bivalvulida; Parvicapsulidae. The record is from RNAcentral.